CGAUUGGCAGCGUCCUCUUGCGGCUGCCACCGUUAAACAUGGCUUUGACGUCUUCCCAGGCAUGGGCCACGUCGUCCGCACCUGAACCCCCUUUGUUACUUGCAGACAAUGGACAUAAAGUGUGCUACUGCAGAGAACAGAGGACAGCCAGACACACUCCAUCAGGAAUAUUCUGUGUUUAAGAGGUGAGAGGGGGUGGAAAAGCUGUGGCUGCUCAGAUGAGCAAUGUAUCAUUAUCCAGAGUCCUGCAUCCCCUCCUAACUGCAGCACCGCAGGCUAGGCAGCCUUGCGUGAGCUCCAUCUACUGAGCCAGGCAAUCUGGCCAGCAGACAUGCAUGUAUUCAUAAUGGCAGCAGCCUUUCAUGUAGGAGAGAGAAAGAGAGAGAGAGGGAUGAAAGCUCUUUUGGAGGGCACUAAUGCUCAUCAUUACUAAAUGCUACUCACAUAACAGCUUAUCCCACCCACAGAAUGUGACUAGUAAAUACAUAUUACUACAGCGGUUCAAUUGGAUUUAAAGCAAAGAGGCUGAGUGGUAAUUACUAU
Onychostoma macrolepis is the source of this 543-nucleotide long non-coding RNA. RefSeq lists it as uncharacterized. Lineage: Eukaryota; Metazoa; Chordata; Actinopteri; Cypriniformes; Cyprinidae. The record is from RefSeq and is a predicted model, not a curated record. The transcript is spliced from 3 exons.